RNAcentral lists this unclassified non-coding RNA (238 nucleotides) under uncultured fungus. RNAcentral describes it as "partial contains 18S rRNA, ITS1, 5.8S rRNA, ITS2 and 28S rRNA". Lineage: Eukaryota; Fungi. The record is from RNAcentral.
AAGGAUCAUUAAUAUUUGAGUCGGGGUUGUUCUUUAGUGUUUUCUGUUCGGUUCUUUUUUGUGUCUUUUAUUAAGAGGAGCAACUCUGACACAAAUAUUUUGAACUGUAUUUUUCGUUCCCAUUUUAUGGGAAGGAGCAAGAUGGACAUAUUUAAAACCCAACUCUUUAAAUGUUUUUAUAACUAUUGUGUAUUUUAAAUAAAAAAGAUCACUUUCAACAACGGAUCUCUUGGCUCUC